CACGUAGGGGCGAGCGUUGUCCGGAAUUACUGGGCGUAAAGGGCGCGCAGGCUGUUAUGCGAGUCUGCUGUGAAAUGUACCGGCUCAACCGGUGCCUUGCGGCGGAUACUGCAUAGCUGGAGUACUGGAGAGGGAAGUGGAAUUCCCGGCGUAGCGGUGAAAUGCGUAGAUAUAUGGAGGAACACCAGUGGCGAAGGCGACUCUCUGGUCUGUAACUGACGCUGAGGCUCGAAAGCGUGGGGAGCAAACAGGAUUA
Molecule: ribosomal RNA, 256 nt
Filed under: uncultured prokaryote
Description: partial 16S ribosomal RNA
Rfam family: Bacterial small subunit ribosomal RNA
Source: RNAcentral